RNAcentral lists this unclassified non-coding RNA (298 nucleotides) under Hevea brasiliensis (rubber tree). Lineage: Eukaryota; Viridiplantae; Streptophyta; Magnoliopsida; Malpighiales; Euphorbiaceae. The record is from RNAcentral.
CAUUUUCUUCUCCUUGCACUGGAAUGUUCUGAAGCUGAACCAUUUGAUUAGCAAGGUGAAAUUUAUUUCCUUGCACAUCAUUUGCCUCUUCCAUUAAAAGAUCAUGACUAUUGAACUCAAAUUCAGGAAAUAAAUCAACCAGAGGCACUGGAAUUCCUCGGUGACUGAUAAAAGAAGCUGGAAUGUUAUUAGGCUGAACCAUUUGACAAACCGGGUGAAAUUCAUUUCCUUGGCUACCAUUCAAGUCCUCUUCCACAGCAAUGUCAUUAGGUUGAACCAAUUGAUAAGCAGGGUUAGA